GACUAGCUUAGGGUUUCAUUGUUAUUUCUUCGCCUCCUCAACUUCGUCGUCUCCGAUAUUUCCCUGUAAAUACAAUGUUUUUUCCUGUUAACCUUCCAUUUCGUUCAGCGAAUGAAUAUUCACCAUCACUCUCAAUUAAACUUCUUAAUCAAGCUUGAUUCUUCGAUAAUGUCUUCUUCCGAUGUUGUUGUUGCGCAAUCAGUUGACCCGGUUCUUUGUUUCUCGGCUUCUCCGUUUUUGGGACUAGAAAAACCUCAAAAAGCAUGGUGAAUUCAUGGGAAUCACCCUACUUCUCCUUGAUGAGAAGACACUGGUUCCAGACACCGAAGGUUGGACAAUGGAUGGGCAUUAGGAUUCACUGAUAUACAAGACCUCAGUGUUGUGAGACCCCGCCGGCUCUUAACCCGGUCUCCGGUCGGGUCAUGUGGAGAAGCUGGGUGGGCUUGAAGCUUACGUCUCUGGCUCUCCCGAUUCCAAGUUGUGCGCCAUCCUCAUCUCUGAUGUUCUUGGGUAUGAAGCUCCAAACUUGAGCAAGUCUUUUGGUCACGGUUUGAUUGCAUUCUCUGCGGUCAUUGUUCCUUAUUGCAAGUUUAGAAGAAGACGAUUAGAUUCUAUGAUGAAUUCCUUGCGUCGUCACUACCAACCAGCACGGUCAGCAAUUCAUUCCAUCUGAAUUAAUUUAUUGUGUCCUUGAGAUGGUUUGAGUUCUGGGAAUGUUCGAGUUGACGAUAGUGCUGCUGUUGAUAUUUGAAGGAUUGGAUUGUAUUUACAGCUUUAUUGUGUAAUGCUUUAGUUUUUUUUUAAUUUGUUUGUGUUUGUUUGAUAAUUUUUCAUUUGCCUACUGUUGCACAACACCCUUAUCUUAUCUCUGUAUAUGCAAUUCAGGUGGAGUAAUAGUAUGGAAUCAUAUAUAUUUUUAUGUCCU
Long non-coding RNA from Raphanus sativus (radish), 925 nucleotides. RefSeq lists it as uncharacterized. Lineage: Eukaryota; Viridiplantae; Streptophyta; Magnoliopsida; Brassicales; Brassicaceae. The transcript has 4 exons. The record is from RefSeq and is a predicted model, not a curated record.